GACGAACGCUGGCGGCGUGCUUAACACAUGCAAGUCGAACGAGAGCGUAGAGAAAGCUUGCUUUUUCUACAAUCUAGUGGCCAACGGGUGAGUAACGCGUAAACAACCUGCCCUACGGAUGGGGACAACAGCUGGAAACGGCUGCUAAUACCGAAUACGUUCCGAAAGUCGCAUGACUAUCGGAAGAAAGGAUGGCCUCUAUUUAUAAGCUAUCGCCGGAGGAGGGGUUUGCGUCUGAUUAGCUAGUUGGAGGGGUAACGGCCCACCAAGGCGACGAUCAGGAGCCGGUCUGAGAGGAUGAACGGCCACAUUGGAACUGAGACACGGUCCAGACUCCUACGGGAGGCAGCAGUGGGGAAUCUUCCGCAAUGGGCGAAAGCCUGACGGAGCAACGCCGCGUGAGUGAAGACGGCCUUCGGGUUGUAAAGCUCUGUUAUACGGGACGAAUAAUCUUGUGGUUAAUACCCAUGAGAAGUGACGGUACCGUAAGAGAAAGCCACGGCUAACUACGUG
RNAcentral lists this ribosomal RNA (513 nucleotides) under uncultured bacterium. Its description in RNAcentral is "partial 16S ribosomal RNA". It matches the Rfam family "Bacterial small subunit ribosomal RNA", at positions 28 to 507 of the family's 1533-position model. The record is from RNAcentral.